CGGAGUGUAGCGCAGCCUGGUAGCGCACCUGCUUCGGGAGCAGGGGGUCGCAGGUUCGAAUCCUGCCACUCCGACCA
RNAcentral lists this transfer RNA (77 nucleotides) under Pseudaminobacter soli (ex Li et al. 2025). RNAcentral describes it as "tRNA-Pro". It matches the Rfam family "tRNA". From Rfam's summary of the family: Transfer RNA (tRNA) molecules are approximately 80 nucleotides in length. Their secondary structure includes four short double-helical elements and three loops (D, anti-codon, and T loops). RNAcentral also lists the same sequence under 18 other names. The record is from RNAcentral. Lineage: Bacteria; Pseudomonadati; Pseudomonadota; Alphaproteobacteria; Hyphomicrobiales; Phyllobacteriaceae.